Brachypodium distachyon (stiff brome) is the source of this 972-nucleotide long non-coding RNA. RefSeq lists it as uncharacterized. The record is from RefSeq and is a predicted model, not a curated record. Lineage: Eukaryota; Viridiplantae; Streptophyta; Magnoliopsida; Poales; Poaceae. The transcript has 2 exons.
GUCGAGGGUAAAGGCUCGACAUUGUGCGAUAUUCGGGAAUCCUCGUUCCAAUCGAUCCACACCGGGCUCGACUCCUCGCCGACGCAAUUCUUUUCCGUUCCCCUUCUAAAAUAAACGACACAGCACUCGUCCUUCCCGAGCGAGCCCCAAAUCCAACCCACCGAGCCCCCGGCGGCGGCGGAGGUAAGCCUUCUCCCGCCCGCCUCCUCCUUCUCCGGCGGCGGUGGCCAUCUCCCGGCCGCCGACCUGCCUGCUCCCGGCGGUACUUUCCCGCCCCGCCUCCCUCCCCUCUCACCGCUCUUCCUUUGCGCGCGUGUACUGCACGUCAGCAGUGGAAGAGACCCGGUGACGGGCGGACGCGACCGGCGGCGCACCGCUCCUCCCAGUGCAGUCGCCUGCUGCCGGAGACGCGCCCGCGGCUAUUCAGGUGAAGCUCGUCAACAAGCAGACCACUUGGUCCCGAUCUGCUGUUCAAGGUCACUGGGUGCAGCGCCGGCAGGCUCCUGCCCUCCUCCAACCGCCCCGCUCACUGCAGGCCGCUCGCAACCACAAGGACGAAGCUUCGGAGGCGCACCUCCACCCGAGCAGCGGCGGCGCCGUAGCUAGCAGUAGCAGCUCCGCACCUCCUCACUACAUGAUUGGUAACACCUGUGCUUGCAAGGACCAGCCUUGUAACCUGUGAGACUCGAAGUAAAAGCACCUACAAGGCUACAAGAAACUGAACAUUUUUCCUCCUUGAAUUUUUUUUCAGUUUAAACUUCAACUGAAGGUGUUGUUACCUGUGACCUGUUUAGGAUCGAGCAUAUAUAUUUUCAGGCGUCGAAGCUGGAGAUGUGCUAACUUAUUUGUGUUUUCUGCCGAUGAGAAGAUGAAUGAUUGGGUUUUUUUUUUGAGUGAAUGAUUGGUUUAUUGCUGGUGGAACUUGAUUGUGUUGAAAUGUCGAUUCAGAGUUUGUAACUGUAUAUUACUCCC